Long non-coding RNA from Bradysia coprophila, 1389 nucleotides. The record is from RefSeq and is a predicted model, not a curated record. NCBI's taxonomy places the organism in Eukaryota, Metazoa, Arthropoda, Insecta, Diptera, Sciaridae.
CUUAAAGCCUUCCGAACAGUUUCGAACUGAUGGAAAACGGCUAGCACAAAAUGUUUUCCCGAUGCUUCAGAAAUACUUGAAAAAUUAUUCCGUGGCUGAACCGUAUUUUGGUGGAAGUUUCGGAAAAAAGACAGACACUAUCAAUCCCGACCUCGAUCUAGUCAUUGUAGUCAACAAUGUUGAUAAUCCACCUUAUGACGACGUACUGGAACAAUUUGAAGAUAUUCUUUUGCUGAAUGAACGUAAAUUGAAAAUUAGGAGCGGCUCAAUAAAGAGAAAAUCAAAAUUCUCCCUGCAACGAACAAGUCCCCAGAGCAAGUUUACACCAUACUAGAACAAAAACCAGACAUUUUUUACUCAUACAGUAGCAGUUUGGUGAAGAGACAAAUUGAGUUUAUGACUUCCCAUGACAGUAGCUUCGUCCACAUCAUUAUUCGCAUUGUUAAGUAUUGGUUCAAGUCUCUCAGUUUCGGAGAAAAAUAUUUAAAUGGAAAAGGCAUAAUUAUGGAACUGCUGGGAAUUGCGGCUGCAGGACUAGAGGAAAGUACUUUUAACUCGGGAUCCCUAUCUGUCGUUCGUACUCUAAGAAGAGUGCUUGAUAUGGUAGAGAAAAUUGAUUCAACCAAAUAGGCCUUUGAGCAGAUUCCUGAAACAAAGAAGUGGAUUCGUAUUCCAGAAUCCAAAUUGAAGAUUCAAAAUUCACAUCAGUUGAUUCCUAGGAUUGUGGGAACCGAAAACAUCUUAUCUAGUGGAUUCUUCAUUAUCGAGCCAGCUAACCCUUUCAACAAUUUGAUGGGAGGCCAAGACGAAACGGUAAUUCAAACAUUGAAAGAAUAUGCCGGCGUAACAAAAACAAGACUUUCUUUACUUAUGAACCAUUACACAAAAUUCCCGAACGGUUUCCCGAACCAAGUUAUCAUAAAUAAAUUUUUUGAGCCACAGCCGGUGUGUCUGAAAAAUCAAUUUUCUUUUGAAGUUCCUGUCGAUUUUGUCAUAGACUAUAGCCACCCUUAUUCCUCGGAAUAUUGUGAUAUGAAAGUUCGUAAUGAAGAGCCACUCCAACGAAAGGAAGUUGAAUUGGCUGUUGAGACCAUUAAAUGGAGACUGCUUUCUGCAGUCACUGUUCUCAAAACUAAUGAAGACGUGACACCAACAGACAUUAGGAAUGCCAUAGGUGCUAUGGUUAAAUCGACGUUAGAUGUCCAACUGGCGGCAUCCACAACGAAUAAUCACGACGACCAUGACAUCUCCUUAUCGGUUCCAUACAAAUCGAAUGGUGAAACCUAUGCUGUUAAAUUUAGUAUGAGCUGGAGUUGGAAGCGUUGAAGAGUUGUUCGGUUCAAGGAGUUUUUGUAAUUACAAUCAUUACAUUGAAAUUUUACAAGAAAA